Molecule: ribosomal RNA, 437 nt
Filed under: uncultured bacterium
Lineage: Bacteria
Description: partial 16S ribosomal RNA
Rfam family: Bacterial small subunit ribosomal RNA
Source: RNAcentral
AGCGAACGCUGGCGGCAGGCUUAACACAUGCAAGUCGAGCGGGCAUCCUUGUGGUGUCAGCGGCAGACGGGUGAGUAACGCGUGGGAACGUGCCCUUCGGUUCGGAAUAACUCAGGGAAACUUGAGCUAAUACCGGAUACGUGCGAGAGCAGAAAGGUUUAUCUGCCGAAGGAUCGGCCCGCGUCUGAUUAGCUAGUUGGUGAGGUUACGGCUCACCAAGGCGACGAUCAGUAGCUGGUCUGAGAGGAUGAUCAGCCACACUGGGACUGAGACACGGCCCAGACUCCUACGGGAGGCAGCAGUGGGGAAUAUUGGACGAUGGGGGCAACCCUGAUCCAGCCAUGCCGCGUGAGUGGUGACGGCCUUAGGGUUGUAAAGCUCUUUUCUCCGGGACGAUAAUGACGGUACCGGAGGAAUAAGCCCCGGCUAACUUCGUG